UGAAAUUGAAUAUCCCUUCGCUCAAUUGCCUUCCUUCACUGCUAUGCACCCUUUUAAACCUUCAAACACUAGAAAUGCCAGCUAGCUACAUAGAUCAUUCACCAGAGGGUAUUUGGAUAAUGCAAAAACUCAUGCAUCUGAACUUCGGUUCCAUCAAUCUGCCUGCACCUCCAAAAAAUUAUUCCAGCUCUCUGAAAAACCUCAUUUUCAUAUCAUCCUUAAACCCUAGUAGUUGUACUCCAGAUAUAUUGGACAGACUCCCUAAUGUUCAAACUCUUAGAAUAUCUGGAGAUUUGAGUCACUAUCAUUCUGGGGUUUCCAAAAGCCUAUGCGAACUACACAAAUUUGAAUGCCUGCAACUGGUGCAUGAAGGCAGGAUGUGGCAGCUCUCAAGGAUGGUCCUGUCUGAAUACCAAUUUCCUCCAUGUCUGACCCAACUAAGCUUAUCAAAUACUCAGCUAAUGGAGGAUCCUAUGCCGGCAUUAGAAAAGCUUCCACACCUUGAGGUGCUGAAACUGAAGCAGAACUCGUAUUCAGAAAGAAAACUGGCUUGUGUUGGCUCGGGUAGUUUUCCACAGCUCAAGAUUUUGCACCUGAAAUCAAUGCUAUGGCUGGAGGAGUGGACGAUGGGAGCAGGAGCAAUGCCAAAACUCGAAAGCUUAAUUGUGAACCCUUGUGCAUACUUGAGAAAGCUUCCUGAGGAGCUAUGGUGCAUAAAGAGCUUAUGCAAACUGGAGUUACAUUGGCCUCAGCCAGAGUUGAGAAAAAGGCUACGGGCUUUUGAGGACAUGGAGUGGCGGUAUGACAUCCAGUUAUAUCCUUCUGGAAUCUAACGGAUAGAAAGGGGUGAGAGUUUUACUUGAUAAUUACUGAUAUGGCAUGACUUUGUUUCACCUACUCAAUAAAUUUAUAAAUGUGCUAUCUGUAGUAAAACCUUCAAUGUUUCAAAUUUUAAUAUAUGAUUCUAAUUUCCUUUGACUUGUGUAGGAAAAAUCAAAGGGGAAGUGUCAUAUAUAACUGCAGUCUGGCUUUCAAUUUCAACUGCAAUUCAGCAUUGAUCGGUUAAAUUCUCUUCAUUUCAGGUGCCUUUCAUGGACAUUAUUUUGAAGCGGAUUUGCCACUAGUGAUGCAAUGGUUAGUCUAUUAUCUAUAAACUUGAAUAAGGUACGUUUUUGCUUUUGUUCGCACGUAUUUUGUGUUUUAAGAACUGUUGUGUGAUUAGAACUACAGUUAACUGUUGUUCAUGAAUGUUUGGUUUGGCUGCUUUGGACUGUAUGGAUACAGAUAUCUAUUCAAAUUUUCAUCAAGUAACUGAGGGAAUUGAACCAAUGGAAAUAAUAACCAAGUGACUUCAUACUUUAUUUGAAUUUUAAUUGUAUGACAAAACAAUAUGUAUGAAUUGUAAUUUGCAAAUUUGUAGUUUGCCUUGUAAUCCCUCACCGGCAAGACUAUAAACUGUAACGAAAAGUUUGGAUCAGCAUUCAUUGGGUAACCUGCAGACCAGCAAAUGCUUGAUCUGAAACCGUUUGAUCGGUCCAAGAAAAUAAACAUCACUUGAGUUACAUCAAUAAAUGGAGUAAUGUAGAUAAGCUCACUAAUGCUCGAAAUAAAUGGUUCAAAGAAAACAGAGACAAUGACUACAAAUGAACAUAACUUGAUAUCUCAGACUCGGUUAAAACUUAAAAGAAAAGUGGGGCCUGCUGACACCAAAAGGAUGAAAUUAAGGAAUCUCUUUUGAAAAGCAUCGAAGAGGAAUAAAGUGGGGAAAUGAAGAUAAAGCAAUCAAAAAUCAAAGAUAAGCUACUAGUAAUCUAACUAGAAGAUACUAAAAUAUACUUGUCUAAAUUUAAAUUGAUUUCCGCUGCCAAUUUGCAGUUUCAAUCCUCAAAAAGGGUCCAAAAAAAUGCCAGAUAUUGCCUUAGUUCUGAGGAUAUGGAGUGGCGCUUUGACAUCCAGAUAUUGCAUUAUGGAACCCAAUUGAUUGAAUGGGGAUAGGUUUAGUAUUGUUGAUGCGAGAUUCUGGUUGUCCUCGUUCUACGACCAGGCUCUCUGCUCGAUCAACUUCACCACGACCAGGAGGUCUCCUCGUAAGGCUUCUUCUCUAGAGGUUCCUGCGCACACACACAAGUCAGAGUACGCCGGUUGUUUUCCCGGCGCAAACCCUCCGAUGCUCAAGUCAGAUAUGAAGGUUCGGGGAACGCUUGCCACAGAUCUUAUGGCUUUUUCGUAGUUUGCUCUUCUUUUAGAAUUGCUUUUAUCUCUCUUCUAAUCUCAAAAUUGCUAACCCUUUUACCUUCGUUGGCUACCUUUUUAUAGGCUUCUUCUGAAUCCCAGUUUUCCGCAGCCUACGUCCGUUAUCCUCCCACCUCUCAAACGUGGAUUCUCCAUUUCCGUAGUCAUGGGUGGUUGCGUGGCCUUCGUGCCUAGAUUCUCGGGCUGGAGAGCAUGCCUCGCCAACUGUCGUUGACCGGGUCUCCUCGAAUCAACCCUUAGCAAGAAUACAGCAGGAAUGGCUUUAUGCUUCUUGCAGGAAAUUGGCCUCGCGGAUGACGUGCUUCCUGGUGACUUCCUGGUCGAGGUGACUAAUAGCAUCCUGGUCGAGGUGAUGUGCUCGAGGUCACCACAUAUUUUUCUGGUCGAGAUGAUCUGCUCAACCAUUUGCUCACUUUUACUUUGAGGAGAGCACGAUAAUGUAUGAGCAAACACCUUUAUCUUGGUCACCCCAUUUCAUUCCCUAAACACCAGUCCCCCAGUUUCUAGUGUUGAGAGUGAAACGAAUCAAGACUAGAAACUUUAGUGAUCUGCUCGUCUUCGCUUGGUUGAGCAGAUCCUGGUAUGCUUGGCUUUCUGUCUCGCCAUAAACAGGCUUUGAAACUUUGGUGAGCCUUUGCAUGCCUUUGAUUCUUCAAGGAUUGGGAUUCUGCUCGCCUUCUCGUGGCCGAGCAGAUCCUGGCAUGCUUGGCUUCUGUCUCACCAUAAAACAGGCUUUGAGACUUUGAGCCUUUGCAUGCCUUUGAUUCUUCAAGGAUUGGGAUUCUGCUCGCCUUCUCGUGGCCGAGCAGAUCCUGGCACGCUUGGCUUCUGUCUCGCCAUAAAACAGGCUUUGAGACUUUGAGCCUUUGCAUGCCUUUGAUUCUUCAAGGAUUGGGAUUCUGCUGGCCUUCUCGUGGUCGAGCAGAUCCUGGCACGCUUGGUUUCUGUCUCGCCAUAAAACAGGUUUUGAGACUUUGAGCCUUUGCAUGCCUUUGAUUCUUCAAGGAUUGGGAUUCUGCUCGCCUUCUCGUGGCCGAGCAGAUCCUGGCAUGCUUGGCUUCCUGUCUCGCCAUAAACAGGCUUUGAAACUUUGGUGAGCCUUUGCAUGCCUUUGAUUCUUCAAGGAUUGGGAUUCUGCUCGCCUUCUCGUGGUCGAGCAGAUCCUGGCACGCUUGGUUUUUGUCUCGCCAUAAAACAGGCUUUGAGACUUUGAGCUUUUGCAUGCCUUUGAUUCUUCAAGGAUUGGGAUUCUGCUCGCCUUCUCGUGGCCGAGCAGAUCCUGGCAUGCUUGGCUUCCUGUCUCGCCAUAAACAGGCUUUGAAACUUCGGUGAGCCUUUGCAUGCCUUUGAUUCUUCAAGGAUUGGGAUUCUGCUCGCCUUCUCGUGGUCGAGCAGAUCUUGGCACGCUUGGGUUCUGUCUCGCCAUAAAACAAGCUUUGAGACUUUGAGCCUUUGCAUGCCUUUGAUUCUUCAAGGAUUGGGAUUCUGCUCGCCUUCUCGUGGUCGAGCAGAUCCUGGCACGCUUGGCUUCUGUCUCGCCAUAAAACAGGCUUUGAGACUUUGAGCCUUUGCAUGCCUUUGAUUCUUCAAGGAUUGGGAUUCUGCUCGCCUUCUCGUGGCCGAGCAGAUCCUGGCAUGCUUGGCUUCUGUCUCGCCAUAAAACAGGCUUUGAGACUUUGAGCCUUUGCAUGCCUUAGUAAAUUCUUCAAUGCUUGGGAUUCUGCUCGCCUUCACGUGGUCGAGCAGAUCCUGGCAUGCUUGGCUUCUGUCUCGUCAUAAAACAGGCUUUGAGACUUGGUGAGCCUUUGCAUGCCUUAGUGACUUCUUCGAUGCUUGGGGAUUCUGCUCGCCUUUACGUGGCCGAGCAGAUCCUGGCAUGCUUGGCUUCUGUCUCGCCAUAAACAGGCUUUGAGACUUGUCGAGCCUUUGCAUGCCUUUGAUGAUUUCUUCAAAGCUUGAGAUUCUGCUAGCCUUCUCGUGGCCGAGCAGAUCCUGUAAUGCUUGGCUUCUGUCUCGCCAUAAACAGGCUUUGAGACUUGACGAGCCUUUGCAUGCCUUGGAUGAUUUCUUCAAAGCUUGGGAUUCUGCUAGCCUUCUCGUGGCCGAGCAUAUCCUGGCAUGCUUGGCUUCUCUCUCGCCAUAAAACAGGCUUUGAGACUUGACGAGCCUUUGCAUGCCUUAAUGAAUUCUUCGAUGCUUGAGGAUUCUGCUCGCCUUCACGUGGUCGAGCAGAUCCUGGCAUGCUUAUCUUUUGUCUCGCCAUAAAACAGGCUUUGAGACUUGGUGAGCCUUUGCAUGCCUUAGUGACUUCUUCGAUGCUUGGGGAUUCUGCUCGCCUUCACAUGGCCGAGCAGAUCCUGGCAUGCUUGGCUUCUGUCUCGCCAUAAACAGGCUUUGAGACUUGUCGAGCUUUUGCAUGCCUUUAAUGAUUUCUUCAAAGCUUGGGAUUCUGCUAGCAUUCUCGUGGCCGAACAGAUCCUGGCAUGCUUGGCUUCUGUCUCGCCAUAAACAGGCUUUGAGACUUGACAAGCCUUUGCAUACCUUGGAUGAUUUCUUCAACGCUUGGGAUUCUACUAGCCUUCUCGUGGCCGAGCAGAUCCUGGCAUGCUUGGCUUCUGUCUCGCCAUAAAACAGGCUUUGCGACUUGGUGAGCCUUUGCAUGCCUUAGUGACUUUUUCGAUGCUUGGGGAUUCUGCUCGCCUUCACGUGGUCGAGCAGAUCCUGGCAUGCUUGGCUUCUGUCUCGCCAUAAAACAGGCUUUGAGACUUCACGAGCCUUUGCAUGCCUUAGAAAAUUUAUCACAGUUUCAAGUGAAUGACAUUCCUCGACGUUCCAUUAAUUGCAAGUUUUUAUUUUACAUGAACUUGCUCUGACGUAAAACAUAAAAAUAAAAGAUAAAGAGCACGAGCAGAAAUUGCUUUAAAAUGUGAACAAGUCUUACUGGAAGUAUUUUUGGAAGUGUGCUGCGUUCCAUGGGCGUUUCACCUCGUGGCCGUCCGUGCGAACCAGCUUGUAAGCUCCGGGUCCCACCAUCGGCUUGACUCUAUAUGGCCCUUCUUGUUUUCUACUCUGGUAUCGAGGGAUGUUAUCUGCAUUGCUUCCCUUGCUGCCGAGGAGUAGCAGCUUCUUGCGAUCCUCUGGUCUCCUCGUACCACUCCAACUACCCCAUUCACCCGGUACUUCAGAGCCAGAUAAUGGUUGGACAGCACCGCUUUGCUCAUCCUCAGAAAUGGCCGACCCAGGAUCAUCUGGUAUGGACCUUCUUCAUCCACCACCACAAAGUCUAGUAUCAUAGUUCUUUCUGUCUGGGAGCUCCCAAUUGUGAUAGGCAGCUCAACCACACCCAGUGGGACCAGCUUUCCUCCUCCGAAUCCCUUCAAGGAGGUAUUGGUGUAUUCCAACUUCAGGUCUGCUAUUCCCAUUUCCUCCAGGGUUGACUUAAACAACACGUCAACUGAGCUCCCUGUGUCAACCAGUAUCCUGUCAAACUUCUUGCUAGCGAUAGUGGCCUUGAUGACCAAAGCAUCCUCGUGGGGGUACAGAAUUCCUUCUUCAUCCUCAUCUGUCCACAUAAUUGGCACUUGCCUGACUCUGGCACGUUUAGCUGCUGGGGUGUUGAAGAAUACCUCUUUGCUGGUCAUGGCAUAUUUAGCAUAGUUCUUCCUCAACCUGUUGGAAUCUCCGGCUAAUGUUGGGCCCCCAGCUAUCACCCUAACUGCAGGCUGCUCGCGCCUCAAGUUCCUGUCUCUCUGCUCCCCUUCACUUGUCAAGGCUACCAUUGGGAAGGUCCCAUCUAUAAACUCGUCCAAGUACCGAUUUCUCACCAAAUCUUCUACUUGGGUCUUGAGAUCUCUACACUCUGCUGUGGUAUGGCCAUGAGUGCCAUGGAACUUACAAUAGCGUCCCCUAUCUCUCCUGCCGGGUAGCUUUGUUAUUGGGGCAGGGAGGUACAGCAAUCCUCGGUCCUUUAUGGCCUCAUACACCUCGUCCAGGGACAUCUUCAAUGAAGUAUACCGCCCAUAGUCCUGGUUCUGGUCGAUCAGGUGUACUGCCCUUUCUCUAUUUGCUCCGUUUUGAGUUGGGGGUAGUGGCAGCACUUCUGGUCUGCUCCCUCUACUGCCGUGGGAGUGUUGAUGAAGACCACCAUAUGUCGAAUCAUGCCUUCUCCAAGGCUCCCUAGCUGGGGAACGAGGAGGCUGCGCCCUGCUGCGCUGAUAUUGUGGUGGCCUCUGAUGAGGCUGGUAAGCUUUUACCCGACCUCCUGCUCCACUACCUGAGCCCUGGUGGUCCCUUCUUCUGAUCGGCCCAUUCCCUGGUGGUGCCCUCUUCUCUUUCUUUUCCAACCCCUCUAGCUGGUCAGUCUUAAUCCGAGCCGCCUUUUCUUCCUCGAUCUCUAUGUCUCUUUUAGCCUGCUCGUAUGCGGCCGCAUAUGACUGAAUAGCUGGGCUUCUCAAGUUGUACCACAACCUUUCUAUCUUCACUCCCUCUUUCAAUCCCCUUAGUGCCUGAGGAUGGUUGAAGGCUCCCAAAUCGAGGACAGCACGAUGAAACCUCUUGAUGAAUUCCCGAAGGGUUUCUUGGUCCCCCUGUUUCAUGCUUUUCAGCUCCAUCAUGUCAUCUUCUGGUGCCAUCGCCCCACUAAACUGCUCUGCGAAUUCCUGGCACAUCUGCUCGAAGGUUUUAAUGCUGCCCCGAGGAAGUUUCCUGUACCACUCUCGUGCAUGUCCCUCAAGGGAUAGUGGGAACACCCUGCACCUUUGGGAUUGAGAUAAUCCUUGUACUCCAGUUAUGUCGUUGAAGCGCUCUAUGUGCACCAGCGGAUCAGUUCUUCCCGCGUAUCUAAGGUCUGGGAGGCGGAAAUCCCUUGGAAUAAUUGCCCUCAUGAUCUCUGCUGCGAGCGGUGAUUCUCCGUCCAGCAUUAUCCUCCAACCAGGAGCUCUGCUCCUUCCUUGCAUGUCGUCAAUUAUCUGCGCUAGUCUGCGCACUUCCUCCUCCAGCUGCACUGCACGACCAGGGUCACGUGCAGCAACUUGAUCCCGCUCUUGCUCUACAUCAUGCAAAUGUUGCCUCAACUCCGUUUCCUCUGCAUUCGCCACCCCAUCGUCCUCAUCAAAAAUCUGCCUUGCCGGGGACUGCUCUUCCUCUCUAUGGAAUUCUCCCCGCAGGGGUAUGUUACCUCUCUCACCACCAAGUCUCCCGAUGGUUUGACUUCUCCUUGUACUACUGGGAUCUGGUGCCACUCCACCUCCUCUCACCCUUUCUUCCUGGGUUACCCUUCGUUCGUUCCGCCGCUCAUGCAGAAUGGUUGUCAAGGAUUCCAUCUGCUUUUCCAUUCGUUCCAUCCGGUCGAACAUGGCUUUUUCCCGUGCUUCACUGGCUAUCUCCCUCAGUGUCACGGAAUCAUUAAGCCUCAUAUCACCCCCUUGUGCACUACUUCCUCCUGCCUCCAUUGCUUUUCAGUUACUUCCCCUCACUUCUUGCUAUCAACAGAAGCUUUUUGCUCAGCUCCCCACAGACGGUGCCAAAAUGUUGAUGCAAGAUUCUGGUUGUCCUCGUUCUACGACCAGGCUCUCUGCUCGAUCAACUUCACCACGACCAGGAGGUCUCCUCGUAAGGCUUCUUCUCCAGAGGUUCCUGCGCACACACACAAGUCAGAGUACGCCGGUUGUUUUCCCGGCGCAAACCCUCCGACGCUCAAGUCAGAUAUGAAGGUUCGGGGAACGCUUGCCACAGAUCUUAUGGCUUUUUCGUAGUUUGCUCUUCUUUUAGAAUUGCUUUUAUCUCUCUUCUAAUCUCAAAAUUGCUAACCCUUUUACCUUCGUUGGCUACCUUUUUAUAGGCUUCUUCUGAAUCCCAGUUUUCUGCAGCCUACGUCCGUUAUCCUCCCACCUCUCGAACGUGGAUUCUCCAUUUCCGUAGUCAUGGGUGGUUGCGUGGCCUUCGUGCCUAGAUUCUCGGGCUGGAGAGCAUGCCUCGCCAACUGUCGUUGACCGGGUCUCCUCGAAUCAACCCUUAGCAAGAAUACAGCAGGAAUGGCUUUAUGCUUCUUGCAGGAAAUUGGCCUCGCGGAUGACGUGCUUCCUGGUGACUUCCUGGUCGAGGUGACCAAUAGCAUCCUGGUCGAGGUGAUGUGCUCGAGGUCACCACAUAUUUUUCUGGUCGAGAUGAUCUGCUCAACCAUUUGCUCACUUUUACUUUGAGGAGAGCACGAUAAUGUAUGAGCAAACACUUUUAUCUUGGUCACCCCAUUUCAUUCCCUAAACAAGUAUCUUAUCUGAUAACUCAACCUUUAGUAACUUGCCUGAUUUGGUAUGCCAUUUUUCCGUUUCCUUAGUAGAUUUAUAUCUAUUGUAGAACCUCCGAGGGUCAUAAAAAUGCCUGUCUAAUUUCGGUUGCUUCAAAAUGUCAAAAUUAUGUCUCAACGUAGAUUGAACUCAAGUAGAAAAACACAGGAGAUUACUCUUUGCAGCAGAGAAACAAAGAAAGAUUCCUCUGUAUUCUAUUUCAAAAGAACUGUAAAAGCACAUUUUCAUUUAUGAUUCUUAUUUCCUUUUACUUGCCUAGGUAAAAUCAGAGGCGGAGACAUCAUGUAACUCAACUGUAAUUUAGCAUUUUUGAGCUGUCUUUUGGGGAUAUUGUUUCGUAUCGGAUUUGCCAUGCUUAAUUUAUUGUCUAUGAACUUGAAUAAGGCCUUCCUUUUUAUUGAAUUUUAGCGUCUAUUGGUAUGUAUUUUUUGAUUUUCUAACAGUCGUAUGAUUAGUUCCAAUUAAGUUUUCUUCAUUCGUGUGUGGUUUGCUCUGCUGUCUCAAAUUCACCAAUGUGAAUAUGACACUCUGCAUUAAUAUGCCAAUUAAGCACCUAAAUUCUGAUGUGUAUUAUCUCUACUUAUUUAUCAGCUUUAUGCCAUUUACCAUCUCAAGAUUUGUGCAGCAGACUGCUUUUAUAAUUGUGAAUUUGCAAUGUUACUUGUAGUCCAUCAACGGCAAGACUCUAAAAAUGUUUGGUAAAGUUCGUUGAAUAUGCAGCUAUUCUGCAAAUCUGGUCUUUGCACAAAUUAACAUCUGGUUCUGGCCUAUCGACAAUUGAUUGUUUGAUUUCCAAUUUUCCGAACAAGCCAAUAGUACCCUAACACAAUCAACCCAAGCGUUUAAAGAGGAUACAAAUUUGCAGAAGCCACAAGAAUUGCAUCAACUAUUGGAGUAAAUGCAGAUAAGACUACUGAUGCAUAAAAAUGGAAAUUAACAAUCAACUUGAGCCGUCUUUUCGGGAAGUUGUUUUGAAUUCGAUUUGCGAAUUUGAUAAAAGUGAGGCUGCGAGUAUUGUUGCAGAUUAGCCCUCCCAUGUGAUGCGCACGUGACCCACUCAUUCUCAUUUGACCACAUCAAACUUCAGUCAAAGUUGUUACAAAGCGCGGCAAAGUUUGUUUAUGCGGUUUCUGUUUUGUACUAAACACAGAUGUAAUCAUCACUAGAUUAACAAAUAAUCAUAAUUAAAGCGAUUGGCACCUAUGAUGACUUGUGUCUACUGUGAUAUUGAGUAAAGCAUACGCUUAUGCGCACAAAAAUAUUAAACAAAAGAUGCCUUAUAUAUACAUAUAAAUGUUCUUUUAGGCAUUAUUAUGGUGAGUGAGUGACCAGUGAGUUAUAGCGUCUAUAAUGUCUGGACAUAAUGAAAUAGUUGAUUGACAGUUAUCUCUAUGCACUUUGCAAUAUGAACAACUUGUAAGAUUUCACUCUACACAGUAAUUUUUGACAGUUAAUUUCUGGUGUUUUUUUUUUUUUUGGGGGUAAAAAUUAUAGGCUUUCAGAUGAAGGACAAGACUUUUUCGUGUCGUAUGAUGAAGUUUAUGAUAGUUUUGUUUAGGAGUGUGAUGAUAAAUCUUUAUAUUAUCAAGAAACUUUAGCUUUAAGAAAUUUAAGACGUUCUAGUUUCAAAAGAAAUCUAGUACUAACUUUUUUUUCAUUCCCAUCAUUUAUCUUAUUUAAUUUAUUUUAGACACUAUAAGGUAGAGUUUAUUUCACACUAUAAGGUAGAGUUUAUUUCUCUUUUUUUAAAAAAAAAUGAAUGCUGUUAUUUCAAUAAUCUUCGUAUUACAAUCUUGUCAUCAUGAUUUAUUUUCAUUUUAUUUUGAGACAAAAGGAUUGUUUUUGAAUUCUCGUUAGCAAAUGUACAUUGCUUUCCUUUUUUGGAUUGGCAAAAACAGAAAACAAAAACAAUUAAACAAGAUUGCAGGACAUCAGCAUCUUAUUCUUUUCUUGAACCAAGUCUUUGUUUUGUUUAGCUUUUGUUAAGAUGCUUUAUUAACCUUCCUCCUUUUUCCUAUUGCUAGUUUGGUACCUCGUUCAUUUCUUGAACCGAGAUAUUUGUCUUUACUUAGAAGUAAAGCUAAAAUGCUCUUUCGCCUUUCCUCCCUUUUUCUCUUAACUUGUGUUUUCUUAUGCUAUCAUUUUCAAUUGUACCAAGCACCAUUCAUUUAUCAACAUCCAGUUUGAAUAAAAUUCUUCAAUUUGAUUUUUUUUGCUUCUUCCACAUAACUGUUUGAUUGUGGUGCUUUCAGUCACAAUUAGAUAUCAUCGGGACAUUAAAUCUUUGAUUACUCAAACAAUCAAUAACAGGUAUUUUAUUAUCUGAAUUAUUCAUAUAAUAAUUUCAUUUUAUUUAUUUUUAUCUCAUGAAUGUUAGAUCCACUUUAGGUUUGUCAUUAAUUAUUUUUCACAAGUUAUAUUUUUUUAUUUUCAUUUUCGUAAGUAUCAAAAUAAUCACUAUCAUGUACACGUUGCUUGCAAUUUUAUUGUGUAAAAAUCAUCGCCCACAAAUAAUAUCAAAUGAAAUUCACUCGCACAUUAAAAAAUAUGUGCAUAUAAUUUUUUUUAAAACCAUUAUUCUCCCUUGGAGCUUACUAUUAUUUAGUACACGAAAUAAAUAAAUAAAUAGAUCUAUAACUUGAUGGAGUUGUUUGCGAAUAGGAAUUACUAUUUAUUUAGUUUGUGUUUCUGCAUCACUAUUAUCUUCUCUGUUAUAUUUGCUUUUAGCAACUGAAGUGCAUAUGAUUUAGGGUGCAUUUGGUAUCUUUUUUGUUAUAUUUGCUUUUAUCCUCAAAUGUUGUUUUUGUAUUUGUUUUAUAAUAAAGAUAUGAUUAGUUUCUAUAUAAUAUUUGUUGAGUUGUGUCACACAUUGGCUAUAAUAUGAGAGUUACUUGAGUUUAUAAGGAGGUAAGUUACUCCACCUAAAAUGUUAGUCUUUUGGGUUGAAUAACUAGAAAUUUUAUGUUAAAUCUCCCCAACAAGUGGUAUCAGAGUUUGACCCUAAUAGUUGGAAUGUGGUUAAAACAACUCAAGUGUGUCAGACGAAAGGACCGGCGUCUAGUGGUGGUGGUUUCGUUCGAGGGGGGGAUUAUUGAGUUGUGUCCCACAUUAGUUAGAAAAGAGGAGAUAGUUGGAUUUAUAAGGAGGUAGGUCACUCUACCUAAAAGACUAAUUUUUUGAGUUGAAUACGUAGAAAUCUUAUGUUAAUUCACGUUGGUAGCCUGUGUUAAAAUAGCAUUUGAAAAUGAAAUUUGUAAAAAUGUGUUUAGCAAUUCUUUUGAAAAAAUUAUAAAAUAAAUUAUAUGUCGGACCCAUCUUAUUUCCAUUCAUUCUUUGAACAAUGCAUUAUGUUGAUUGAUUAAAGUAUCCACCCGUUACGGAAUUAAUGGAAAAUAACAGUGCUUUAAGUGGGCACCAAAGACUUUUUCAAUGUUAUUUUCACCAAAUCCAAGAACAUGUCAGAAAAGUACUUUGUGAAAGAUGUUCGUCAUUCUAAUAUUUUCGUCAAAUAGAAAAAUACCAAACAGCUCCUUAGUUAGAGAUAGUUAUUUCACAACACAAGUACUCUGUUUUGCAUAUAUUUAUAUAUUUUUAAUAGCUCUGUUUUGCAAAUUCCUGCUAAACAGUAUAAGUGAGAGAAGGAGACAUGCUGGACGUCCACCUCCGACUAUUUUGUGAGAGGUUGAAAAGCGUGUUAGCAGGUGAAGAAGGCACGUUAACGUUGCCCGAUUCAACAAAUUUAACUCCACUUUUUCAAAACCUUUUUACGGAGACUGAAAUUAUUACUACUCUGCUCGGGAACUAUGAAGGCGACAUGGCUCGUCAUUUGAUUCAACUCAUUAGAGACGAAUUCGAUGAAUCCAAAAUAUCUUUGCCUUUUUUGCAACUGUUGGACUUGGAAGAAAGCGAUGAAGACGUUAAAAGACCAGACAUUUUGGAAAUUCUGGAGGACAUCAAUCACUUUGUCCAUGAAUCUGAGGAAGCCAUUGACACAUUCAUCAUCAACAUCAUGCAGCAGCAAAACAGUGAAAUCGAAACUGAGAGCAGGUCUAAUAUGGCUCUUCUUAUUGGACUCCACAGUAAAAUCAUUGAUAUUAGAAAUCGGAUGCAACAACUUCCACCCAGCGACAAUGGUUUUGAUAUCAGUGAACAAAGUAACAUAAUCAUUCGCCAAUUGAGUGAGGGACAGCCUCAGCUUGAUGUCAGUGAAUUUGAAAGGGGCAGAGAGAAGUUGUUUGAUCUAUUGAUUGAGGGACCAUCUGGGCUUUCGGUGGUUGCAAUUCUCGACAGCAAUGGCUUCGAUAAGACUGCUUUUGCUGCUGAUACUUACAAUAAUAAUCAUGUUAAGUUCUAUUUUGACUGUCUUGCUUGGGUCAGGGUUUCUCUACUCUACGAUUUUCGCAAGAUAUUGGAUGACAUAAUCAAGUCUGUGAUGCCUCCAUCUCGGGUUAGUGUAAUUAUCGGUGAAGAUUAUCAAUUGAAGAAAUCUAUUCUUCGAGAUUACCUAACAGACAAGAAGUACUUUAUUGUACUAGAUGAUGUCUUCGAUGACACUGAUAUAUGGAUUGAUCUUGAAGAACUUCUUCCCGAUGAUCAGAAUGGAAGCAGAGUAUUGAUAUUGGUCACUGAUCCAGACCUCCUUACAUCGUUGGAAAUGGAAAACGGAGAGAAGAUUUGGCUUGAUUCAGUGCUCGUUGGAGGACCACUGAUUAAAAUAAAGUAUGAAGGCUUACAAUUUUUCGUCCUACACUAUGGAAGUAUGCCAUUAGGAAAUUAUCUUAGCGGCGAAGCGAUUCCGACAGUUUGGAGACAAAUUUUUUCUGUGAUGGAGUUACCUUUUCACUUAAAAGUCUGCUGCAUCUAUUUGUGUGCCUUCCCUCCGAGUAUUGAGAUAUCUACGGAGCAAUUAUAUCAGUUGUGGGUAGCUGAAGGUUUCAUACCAUACAACAGUGAAGAAACUGCCAAACAUUACUUGAAAGAACUAAUCCAUCGUGGCUUCAUUCAAGUGAGUAAGAGAAGAUCCGGUGGCACAAUUAAAGCGUGUUAUGUUCCAAGUCUUGAAUUUACUUCAUUGGCUUUGAUGGCUGAAAAGACGGAAUUUGUAUCUUCAAUCUUUUCUGAAGAGGAAUCACUGUCAAAUGUUAAACGGUACAUCGUUUUCAAAGAUCUGAUUGAGUUUUUAUCUUUAGAACAUUCUGACAUGUAUCUCCAAUCUUUUCUGAAUCACAGUUCAAAAAGCGAUCAUCUCGCUCUGAUACAUUGCGAGAAUUUUUGUAAAAAGUUCAAACACCUUCGGGUAUUGAACUUGGGUUCUGCAGUUCUCGACCAAUAUCCACCCGGAUUAGAAAAUUUAUUCUAUUUGAAGUAUUUGAAAUUGAAUAUUCCUUCGCUCAAAUGUCUUCCUUCACUGCUAUGCACCCUUAUAAACCUUCAAACACUAGAAAUGCCAUCUAGCUACAUAGAUCAGUCACCAGAGGAUAUUUGGAUGAUGCAAAAACUCAUGCAUCUAAACUUUGGUUCCAUCACUCUGCCUGCACCUCCAAAAAAUUAUUCCAGCUCCCUGAAAAAUCUCAUUUUCAUAUCAGCCUUACACCCAAGUAGUUGUACUCCAGAUAUAUUGGGCAGACUCCCUAAUGUUCGAACUUUUAGAAUAUCUGGAGAUUUGAGUUACUAUCAUUCUGGGGUUUCCAAAAGCCUAUGCAAACUACACAAACUUGAAUGCUUGAAUCUGGUGAAUAAAGGCAAGAUGUGGCAGCUCUCACGGAUGGUCCUGUCCGAGUACAAAUUUCCUCCAAGUCUGACCCAACUGAGCCUAUCAAAUACUGAGUUAAUGGAGGAUCCUAUGCCGACACUAGAAAAGCUUCCACACCUUGAGGUGCUGAAACUAAAGCAGAACUCGUACUUAGAAAGAAAGCUGGCUUGUGUUGGCUGUAGCAGUUUUUCGCAGCUCAAGAUUUUGCACCUAAAAUCAAUGCUAUGGCUGGAGGAGUGGACGAUGGGGGCAGGAGCAAUGCCAAAACUUGAAAGCUUAAUUUUGAACCCUUGUGCGUACUUGAGAAAGCUUCCUGAGGAGCUUUGGUGCAUAAAGAGCUUAUGCAAAUUGGAGUUACAUUGGCCUCAGCCAGAGUUGAGACAAAGGCUACGAGCUUUUGAGGAUAUGGAGUGGCGGUAUGACAUCCAGUUAUAUCCAUCUGGAAUAUAACGGAUUGAAAGGGUUGAGAGUUUUACUUGAUAAUUACUGAUCUGGUAUGACUUUGUUUCACCUACUCAAUAGGUUUUAUAAAUGUGCUAUAUGUAGUAAAACCUUCAAGGGUUCAAAUUUUAAUUUAUUAUUCUGUGUCCUUUGACUUGUGUAGGAAAAGUCAAAGGGGGAAGAAUCAUAUAUAUCUGCAAUCUGGCUUUCAAUUUCAACUGUAAUUUCAGCAUUGAUCCGUUCAAUUCUCUUUAUUUGAGCUCCCCUUUGGGGACAUUAUUUUGUGGCGGAUUUGCCGCCAGAGAUGCCAUGGUUAGUCUAUUGUCUAUAAACUUGAAUAAGGUAAGUUUUUUCUGUUCAUGAAUGUAUUAAGAACUGCUGUGUGAUCCGAAUUCUACAAAAAAGACAUCUAGUCGAAGUUUCAUUAGUGUUGUUCAUGAAUGUAUGGUUUUGGCUGUCUUUGGACCGUGUGGAAAAAGACAUCGAGUCAAAUUUUCAUCAAUUGACUGAGGAAAUUGCAACAAUUUAAUGAUGCCUUAGUGAACUCAUACCUUAUAUGAAUUUUAAUUGUAUGGCAAUAGGAUAUGUAUGAAUUAAAAUUUGUAAAUUAGUAGUGUUACUUGUAAUCCCUCACCAGCAAGAAUAUAACUUGUAAGGUAAAGUUCAGAUCAGCAUUCAUUGGCUUAACUGCAGACCAGAAAUGCUUGAUCUUGAACCGUUUGAUCGGUCCAAGAAAAUAAACAUCACUUAAGUUACAUCAAUAAUUGGUGUAAUGUAGAUAAGUUUCAAUAUUGCUCAAAAUAUAUUGCUCUAAGGAAAAAUCGACAAUGACUAGAAAUGAACAUAACUUUAAUUGAUAUUAAUAUAUUUACCAUUAAACAGUUGUGUAAGUAUUAAGACAUCCAAAAUUGCAAAUAUGCAUGUUAAAAAACAAAUCCACGAACCAAAACUACCCAAAAUAGUGUCUUUGAGCUCCAAAGUAACACCCAUGUAUAGCCAGCAUUUUAUUUCAGCCCAUGUGAUGCAAGCUAUAAUUCAUUUGAAUUAUUUAUUAGAAAAGAGAAAAUAAGAUAGUUUUACGGAUAUUUCAAGUUUCAUGUUUCACCGGCACAAUUUAUGCCAAGUCCAUAAUGGAACAAAUAAUGUGUAACCUUAUGACCCACCCAAUAACAGAAUCAGAUGUAGUAUGCACAAAUUGCACAAUCAGAAAAGCAUCCUACAGAUCCAGCGAUUUAAUCUUUUAACCUUAUGACCCAACCAAUCUCGAUCUGUAACCUUUGCUUUCUGAUGUUUAACACAUUAUCUCAUCCUGGCAAAAAAUCUGAAAUGUUUUACGAGAGAAUUAAUCUUGAUAAAGGGCUUUUGGCGGUAAAAAAUAUUGCUUUAAUUAUAAAAAAAUUGAUUCAACCAAGUUGACCUAAAGGUUAUAUAAAUCUUGAUUUAGACGAUAUCAAACAACAUGUUAAGGGUAAAAUAGAAAAUAUAUUAUUUUAAUCUCACUAGUUCUUGAAGGACAUAUAUCAUCUACGUGAGCUCAGUUCAAAACAUUCAUGGUCAAAGCUCAGUAAAGUCAAGGACAAGCAUUAGAGAUACUAUCUAUCAUAGGUGAUAUUUCUUGUCGCAUUUUUUGUAAGGCUAGUAUGAUUAAGCAUUUAAAAGCUCAAUUUAUUGUCAUGAUCAUGGAACUUAAGUUUGUUUAGUUUUCAUAUUGAAAAGUUUCUAUUCUUGAAUAAAAUGAAGAUUAAAGUGUUUUUAUCAAAAUGAUUGCCUUCAAGUAUAUGGACUAAUUUUUGGAGAAUUUGAAUGAUUAAACACUCAAAACCACUCUUUUUUUCUUAUGAACUCAAUACAACUCCUCAAUUACAACUCUUUUAAAACUAAGAAGCUUUACUACUUCUUGUUGCUUAAACCAACUAAGAGAGGAGGUAUUUAUGCUUGUUACAACUUAAUCAUAACCAUAUAUUAACCAAACUACUGCACAAACCAAACCUAACAACCCUACUCAACCAUACAAAUUCUACUUACCACAUUACACUAUAAAUCUUAACUACCUAAAGAAGCUUCCAUGGACUAGAUCAUUUGGGCUUCAAUGUUGUAUGGAUCAAGUUUAUGAGCUAACACUAAUUUGGAAAGUUUUUGAAAGUUUUUGAAAAGUUUUUAACUAUUACCGGAUAACUCAAACUUUAGUUACUUGCCUAAUUUUUGUAUGCCAUUUUUUCCGCACUUCCUCAUUACAUUUAAAUAUGAGUAAUGAUACAGCCACAAACUCUUGUACAAAUUUAUUUUGUACAAACUGAUGUGGCAUGAUAAGAUUGGUUGAAUUAAAUAUCACUUGGCCCGCAUGAUUUAUUUUUAUUAAUUUAUAUUUUCAUUCAACCAAUGAAUUAAUGCCACGUCAGUUUGUACAAAAUAAGUUUGUACAAGAGUUUGUGGCUGUAUCAUUACUCUUUAAAUAUAUCGUCAGAUUUAAAUAUAUCGUAAAACCUUCAAGGGGCCAUACAAAUGCCAACUAAGUGUGAUGAUACGUGCAAAUUAUGCAUGCAUGCAAUAUGUUCGUGGGUAGCCAACAGCGGCGUUGAUGAUGAAGCAGAUAUAGUCAUAUUUGUUGAGAUGGUCAAGACGGUAGACUUAGUUAGACGAAUAGGCUGCUUAACUUAAGCAUAAGUGGUAGCAUGGUUACAUGUUUGUUUCCGAUUAUUUUGCCUUGUUGUUGCAGUUGUUUUGCUACAUUAUCUGUCACGUUUGUAAGGCUAUAAAUAGCCAAAAGCAUCUGGAUAAUGGGGAAGAGAUUUUCAGCGAAAGAACUCUUCCUUCCUUUCUUAACUUCUCCGACUUCUACUUCUUCUUAUCUAAAUUCAUUCAUAUCAUGUGAUUGCUUCAAUCUCAAAAUUAUGUCUCAACAUAGGCUCAACUUGAGUAGCAAAACAGAGUGGGAUAGCCACGUAUUACAGCAGACAAACAAAGAAAGAUCCCUCCCUCUGAAAUCUAUCUAAUAAGAACAGUGAAAGCAUAUUGUCUUUUAUGAUUCUUAUUUCCCUUUAUUUGUUGUGUAGGUUAAAUUACAGUGGGAAACGUCACAGGCCAAACGUUCAAUUUCAACUGUAAAAUCAGCUUUGAUCCAUUCAGUCUCCGUAUUCAGCUGUCUAUUCACAAAAUAAGUCCUCACGAGGCAAGGCAUUGUUUUUGCUUUGUAGAUUUCAAGGAUUUGCUAUAAGUGGCGCCUUUUUUGCAGUAAAUGUUUUCUAGAGACUUAAAUGGUUGUAUUCCUUAAUUUAAACUUAGGAUUUACAUUAUUAUUUUCUUAAAUCUUAGGAGUAUAGAUGCUCCUUUUCCUUCCAACAGUGAUAUAUUUAUAACUGAGACUACAAUAAAUAAAUUUAUUAUGGCGCAACCUAAAUUUCUGCUCUUACUAAUUAAUAAUUUUGGAGGAAAAUCUAUAUUGGUAUUGGAGAAAAUCUAUAUUGGUUUCUAUUCCAGACCAAUUGUACAAUUGGGAGCGGAAUAGAGUCUCAGUGCACGGAACAAAAACUCCGAACAGCUUUAUUUGCUUCUGAAACUCUAAUAUUGAACCAAAAUCAGUUCUAAAAUCCGACAAGAAUUCUCAAAUGAAAGCUAAACCUUACUUCGGUACAAAUUGCAGAAAAUUUUGUGCAAUGAACGAAAUACAAGUGGAAACAUAGAAAAAAAAAAUGCAUGCAAAAGAGAGACGAAUCACCAGCCAGCAAGUCAAGGUCAGAGAUAGGCGAGUGCACUCAGUGAGUUGAGGACUUUAAACGGAAAAGGUCGAAAGAAGUUCUUUUAUUUUAUUUUAUUUUCAAUAUUUCCAAAACUACCUCAACUCUAUUAAUAAGAGGGGGGUUAAAAUCCUAACACAAACUUUUAAGCUGCUAGCUGAUUAAAACUUGACGAGUUGUGUAAUCGCAAGUAGAAUUUGUCUGAGGGUGAGUGAAAACAAUUACAUCGCACUCAAGCCAGUAGGAGUUUGGGAUAUUUAUAAAAAAUGGGUGCAUUUGAACUCAAUUGCAAAUGAGUUUGGGAUAUUUAUAAAUAAUUUGGAUUCUAAAUGAUGUGGCAGUCAUUUAAAACGGGAUUAACCCUUCAACAAAUUAAUCAAAAAAUUAUUAUAUAUAGUACAACGGGAAAACCGUCCUCUAAGUACUUAUUAUUUUUUAAUCCUCUAGCUCUUUGAGACUUCUGCUGAAGUUUUGAACACAAUAAUCCGAAGGAAAAAAUUAUGGGCCACAUGGAAAUUUUGAUAGGAUUAUUACUGUGCCUAAGGAAGCAAGCAUAAGUAGUUAUUGUGAAAAUACACUGAAAAAUGGAACAAAUAAUCCAAUAAAUACAGUGACAGAACCGAAAGGCUUGUUACUCGGUGGUGGAUAAUAUAGCCAAGGAAUAAUUAUUUUCUCCUUCCAUUUCCAUGCAACUCUUUCACUUCUUACUUUGUAAAUAAGCUCAGAAAUGCAAACGAUCAUGGUGGCCAUAGACAUUAACAUGCUAAGUAAUGCGUACUGGAUUUUAUGGGCCGAUGAAAGUUGGUCGAAAAUAGCCGACGGAACCUCUAGCAUGAAAUUGACAAUGACAAAGGUUUGCUCUGGCGUAAGCUGUAUUACAAAUUUAUCAUCUAGUUAUACAAGGAACUAGGAUAUACGAAAAUUUUUCAAUCCGAAAUUAAAAUUAGCGAUUGUAGUCCGGGAUGAGUUUAUAACACUGUAAAUGGACCUUUACAUUAUUACUGCAAAAUAUUAAAAAAAUAAUUUAUAACUAUAAACUCCUCCUAAAUAUUAAUCUUGGAAUUUAAUUCCGGACCUAAAACUGAUUUCUGAGAUGUAUAUUGAAGAUAUGUAGAUUUAUGGGAUAAUAACACAGAUCCUUAUCUUUCUUCAUCAUUACAAAAAAUACAAACAUUUUGUUUUUAAUUUUCCGGAAAUGGGUUCCUGACAAAUGGUAAUGAUUAAAUAGUUUUGGUGUUAAGCUAAAUACUGUCGGUGAAAAUCUAAUACUAAAAGAUUAAUUUUUUUCAUUUUAAAAAAUCAAGGCUUAAUAAUUAAUUACUUAAUACAAAUGGCAAUAAUGAGCUUAUUAGUUGAAAUAUUAAACUCUCCUUUUGUAAUUUUUUUUUUUAAAAAAAAACUGUUUUUGUGUAUCUACUAUUUUACCCAAGAUGUGCUGUAAAAUCUCACAAUUGGUCCAAUAAAACUUUCUAUUUAUAAAAUAGUACGAGAAAAAAGAAAGUUGAAACUAAGAAUAUUUGUUUUUAAAGGGCAUAAGAGUUUUGAUAGAUUUUGAAACAUGUGGAGGCAAACCAUUAAUAUAUUUUUGGAAAGGUUAAAUUCUUUACCUUUCGAGUUGGGUGAUCUCUCUUGAGAUCCACCUUCGGAUCUUCAAUAUCGCCAAUAUCAUUUUCUAUUUCUGCUUCGAUUCCUAUAAAUUUGGAGUUCUCAUCAGUUGCUUCAGGUACGAACGGAGGAAGAUCAACAUGAGAAUGAGGGUCAUCGUCCUCAGUUGUUCUACUACUCUGGAAUACAAAUGCAGGCCAACUAUUAUUCCAGUAUUUGAUUUUUAAUUGAUGUAACAGUUUAUUUGUAAUCGGCACACCGAGAUACCUGGCCGUACUCAUAAAUUAAAAGGGACGAUGAUUGACUGACCUCUGGACUCAAGUCAUCUUUUAUAUGUGGUUCCGUGGGAUUGAGAUCUACAGCAUCGUCCUCUUCCGCAUUUAUGCUCAGGUAAAUAGAAGAGGGUGAUGACCCAACAUCAGAAUGGGUGCUAUCACUCUCAUUUGUCCUUGAGCCACUACCCUGAAAUUCAUCAUUAAAAAACUAAUGCAGUUAACCUAGAGAUGGCACUCUCACACAGAUUCCGCCAAUAAAUCAAUGUGCAAUUAAUGCAUGUGUACAUAUAUAUAUAGUAGAGAAGAAAAUUCCACAUAUACAGUAUGUACGGAAAAAGAAUAAAUUGAAACUCGAUUGCCAGGAUGGGGAAUGCCUUCUUGAGUUUGGUCUUGUAUUGCCAUACAAUAAUGUUAGAUUUACAGAGUUGUGACACAAAUUAAAUUUGGAUCCUAACUAAUGCUAUUUAUGUGUCAUUUACUAUUCUUUGAGACCUAAUCUGAUAAUUAAUUGUUGAGUUUCAUCAUUUCUCUAUUCUCAUCUAUGCUCAACGCAAAUAAAAAAUACGAACAAAUAGAGAAAAAUGAUAUGCUCACCCCACUGCUAAACGCCCUUACCUUGAACCCCACUCAAGCAAAAAUAGUUUUCAAAAAAGAAAAUUUGAUAUACAAUUCCAAAAAAAAAAAAAAAAAAGCUUGAGUGGGUUUGGGGUUUAUUGAUUGGGGAGAGUCGUACGGUUAUGAUAAAUAGAAACCUCGAUCACUUGGGAUCGGGAUCGCUUGUUGAGUUUAGUCUUCUUAAGAAGCUCGUCAUGUCGUUUCUUCAUUUCAGCAACAGCAGCUCUCAUUUUCCUUUGACCUCCUCUGGUAGCACUCUUGAUAUCGACCCUGAAGUCUUUCAAAAACUUACCAUUUUUUAAUGCAGUAAGAAAUUAAUCUUUUUUCCCUCUCUUAUAUAUACUACGUCGCAUGCCCACUGUUUCCUCUGUUUAAUUAAUUUGUCAGUGCAUUCAAUUGCUGGGAAUCAAGGCUGCAGUGUUUUACAACAACAUUUAAUUAGAAUGAAAUUGAAGAGAAGGGAGGGUUUGAAAAUAACCCUUGACAAAACGGAUAAUGAUCAGGCCAACGAUGGUUUCUAGGUAAAAGGUCUUGGUAUGCAUGUCUUUACUUGGAGAAUUAAUAUUGGUAUGAUACUAUGAUCACAGAUGAGAGAAUGUUUGUCCGUGCAACUUUAUCGUGGCAUAUAUCACAUAUACGAUAUUAUUAUAAAUUCCCCUACCUAGGAUUCGUCAGUUAAUUUUAUUUUAAGUUGACACAUUAAUGCGUACGCACACGCAAGGGGUUAGGUUAUGCUCAAACACGGGACUUUCGCUCGAAUACCACACUAAUUAAUGAAGUCAUUUAACCUAAGCUAAUUAUGUAAGAAUAUAGCUCAUGUUUUACAAAAUGGAAAAAGUCGCCCGCACCCCCAUUUUUUUUUUUAAAUAAAUGGUCACACCCAUGAGUUUUAUAAAUGGUCAUACAAAUCCGAAAUAAAAAUUUAAUAAUAAUUAUAAAUAUAAAAUUUAAUAAUAAUUAUAAAUACCAUAGAUAUUAAGAUAAAAUAAUUAAUAAAAAUAAAAUAUAUUAAAUAUAAUUAAUUAAAUGACAUAUAUAUGAUAUGAAAAUUAUUUUUAAUAUUAAUCUAAUAUAGACAUAAUAAAAAAUUUAUUAAAAAAAUAUAUAAUACAGAUUUUGUAAGUUAUGUUGAAUAUUAAAUGCAAUUAUUUGAAUAUUAUAAACUUUUGCAUGAACAUGUUUUACUAAUAUUAAAACAUAUCUGUCAUAUCAAUAAUAUUAAUACAAUUCUUUUAAUAUUCAAAAUGAUUUAUAAAAUUUAUAUUAUUUUUUUAUAUUAGAUCAUUUUAAUAUAGAAUUUUUUAAGUCAUUUUUAUUGUAAUAGUUGAAGGGUAUAAUCAUAAAAUAGAGGUGUGUGUGAUCAUUUACGAAACCCUUAUGACUUUUCAUUAGGAAAAAGACACCUACACUCUCAAGCUUUGAGGAAAUGGUCACAAAGAUACUUUAGUUUUCAAAAAAGGACACCAAAACCCCUUUAGUAAUUAGAAAAUUGAUUUUAUAUUUUUUUAAUUAAUACAAAUUUCAUACAAAUAAUAUAAUCUAUCUAGUAGACUAAUAAUAUUAAAUUACUUUUUAACAUUUACAAUAAUAUUAAAAUUUUAAAUUAUUAUAUUUUCUUUAAUAAUAUAAAAUUAAAAAAUAUCUUAGGUUUUGAUUCAAGGUUUUUAAGUUUCUUAUUGUUCUUUUUUUCACUUUUUUUAUUAAUGAUGAUACUGAAUAGAUGGUUUGGGGCUUCCUGCUAUUGGAAGGCUAUAUAUAAAUCUAUCAUUUGGCAACGGAAAGAAGAAAUAUAAAAUCAAAUUUGCUAUAGAUGUUGAAUAUUAAAUGCAAUUAUUUGAAUAUUAUAAACUUUUAUUUUUUCUCUCCUAAUUAUUAAUAUGGUGGAGUUAGACAGUUGUCGGAGUUAGAACAUAUUUCCCUAGAUUAUUAGUGAAGAUAAAAAUUUAGGCUGUUAAGAAUAGGUCCCAACAGAUGGCUGAUUGUAAUAAAAAAUACCAAAUAAAAAAAAAUGCUCAAGAUGCAAUUAGUCAACAACAUAUGAGUCGUUGUGACAAAUGCCACAGUUUAAGCUUGCAUAUUAUACAAAUGUAUAUAAUAGUGUACAAACUGGUCUUAAAGCGUUGUUAAUUUCUUUGGAGUCAUCGACGGUCCGGCCGUUCACUAUAUAUGUUUUUUGUAUUAAAAAAAAAAUAAUGCAUGCGAGGAUUCGUACAAGUUUUUUAUAUCCAGAUAAAGAGUCCAACUAGAAAGAGACAAAUCCUAAUGAUAUGACCACUAACUGAGCUAUUUACUGCAUCUUGCUCUCUUUCUUUUGGAUGCUUCUUAAUUGUUGUUGUCUUCUUAAAGAACAAGAAUAAUAUAUAACUUAUUAAAUAGAGCUUAUAGAAGUAGAACUUAUACCAAUAGAGUUUUUGGACAAAAAGUCAUUGGGUGUUUGGUUGUCAAUUAAAAAAAUACUUUUGAACCAUUAAACAGUUUGGUUGUGUAAAAUUAAAAGUGCUUUUGUGUAAUUAAAUUACCAAAAAGGAUAUGUAUUUAUAAUUAUUUAACAUGUAACAAAAUGCAUCCAAGCUAUCAAUUAAUAAGAAAAAAUCAGUUCAAUCAUUUCUUUAAUUUUCAAAAUUAAAAAUUUCAUAAUUGAUAUAUUCUCCUAAACAAAUAAUACUAUUCAAAUUAAAAUGAUAAUUAAUAAUAUAAUUGAAAUGUUAAUGGAACAUGAGAAGUGUCGUAUUACCUGACAUCCUCAUCACCAAAAAACGUUGGCUAUGACUAUGAUUACUCUCUCAAGUGUUGGUUAUGUAUUAGAGAUUGCAAAAUUAAAGUGCUGGUUAUUUAAAAAAAAACAAAAAGAGAUAAAGUGAAGUGGCGGCUGCAAUAUGUUUAUAUGGCGGCAACAAUUUUCGUUGGGUAGGUUUUAUACAAAGGGUAUUAUGUAAUUAAUGAAAUAUGUCAAGGAUAUUUUUGAUAUUAUAUAUUUUUUGGAAAAGCUCUCUAACCUCUACUCCCAAAAGCUCAAAUUUUGGGCUUUUGCUAGUAGAGGUAAAUUAGCUUAUUUAAGAUUAAAAAACUCUACUAAAAAAAAAACCAAACACCAUAAAAAAAAUUUAAAAAGUGCUAUGCGAUUAAAUAAGCACUUAUGACUCUUAAAUAAGCCAUACCAAACAGGCGCUAAGAAUAGCAUUUUAAUGAAAAGCAAGCUGGAGUAGCUCUGUUGGCUCGAGCACGUGGCUGUUAACCGAAGGUUGAACACUCGUAUUUUAAUUUUUUUUUUAUAUCAAAUUCCUCUCCAAUAGAAAUUUCAUCCCACCAAAUAUAUAAAUGGGAAGGACUAUUCGGACGCAGAAAAUUUAUUCAGAUCACUCAUAUUUUAACUAAAUUUUAUUUUAUUCCUAUAAUACUAGUAAGUUAAUUUGUUAUUAAGGAAAAUAUAUUAUGAUUACUCUUGGCACCCAUUCCUCUUGCUCAUUCAUCAUCCAUCUUGCGCCAUAAAUUUGUUUUCUUCUUAAAUUUUAAUGAUUCUGUCUCACUUCCUCAUCUCAUCACCGGUAGUCUCUCUCCUCUUCUUUCUUCUUCUCAACUGACUUAGCAAUUGAAAUUGCAAAGUGCGAGUAUACAAGAGAAUAUAUCGGAGAGAUGAGUUGGCAUAGAAUUGUGGUUUAAUCAUUCUUAAUCUGACUUUCCUUUAUUUUAUUAUAUUCUUUUAUUUGUCAAAAUAUGAUUUUUGUUCUUCCAUUUUGGCUAGAUUGGUGAUGGCUGAGUCUAGAGAAAGACUAGUUAUAUAAAUGGAUUUCAACGAAUAAAAAAAGAAGAAAAAACUAAUAUUCUGUUUAAAAAUAAAUAAAAACAUGUAACGAUAACGAUUUAAGUUAGGAUUAUUUUUGGAAUUUCAAAGAGUUCUAAGCAAUACUUAAUUUGAGAACAUUGAGGCUAUUUCACCCCAGUAAAAUACUCCCAACACCUAUUUUUCUAUAAAGUUUAAUACUCUUAAAUAAAUUUACUUAUAAAUCCCUUAGUCUCUUCUUCAUAAUCUAGCUUAUAGUUUCCUCUCUUAAAUACAUAUAAAACUAUUUUUACCCUUGAUGGAAGACAACAUUGACAAAACAAAGCAUUGCCCGCUGGGAAUUACUAAAGAAGAUAUUGUAACAUUUCUUAUAAUAAAAAAAAAACUGAAAAAUAAAAUCUCAAUUAUUAUUGAACCAGCAACAACGUCAUUUUCAAGUUUCAUGAAUAUAAAAUCAUGAUCAAAGCACAAGUGGCAGUUUGAUUGCAGAGGGUAGUAUUAAAUUCAUAUUUGCACAAACUCCAAAAGUCUCUUUGCUUAAUCACAAAUCCAAAUUACGGAUCAUCCUCCAUUACAAUCUUUAUAAUGCUUAAAACUAUAUUAUUUCUAAAAGUACUAGUUUUGCAAGGAUCACUCAUAAAAUUUACAGAUCUGAAAUUAUUUCGGCAAAGUUAGAAUGUUCUUUGAUGUUCACUGAUAUUGAUGAAGAAAUAGAUAUAUUUUCGGAAUUAAGUUCGGUGCUUAAAACAAUUAUAAAUUAUAAAUUUUGUUGAUGGCUACCUGAGAAAUUGAGUUUAUUCAGUAUUUUAAUAGAUUCAAACAGUCUCAUUCUUUCAAAAAAAUUUAUAAAAUGUCAUAAAUAAUAGAGCAUUUAGAGCAUUUUUUAAAGUGAAAAUAAUCACACGUAAUACAAAUUUUGUAGUUGACAACAAUAUUCAUAAAUUUAAUCUAUUACGGCAUACAAUUGGACAAGCCAUUUAAUUGCUGAAGACCAUUUGUUGACUUCUCUCCAGACUAUUUUAAUAAAGCAAAUAGAAAUUUCAUCCCGCCAAAUACAAAUUUGUGCAGCAGACUGCCAUUUACCAUCUCAAGAUUUGUGCAGCAGACUGCUUUUAUAAUUGUAAAUUUGUAAUGUUACUUGUUGUCCCUCAACAGAAAGACUCUAAAUAAGUAAGGUAAAGUCCAUUGAACAUGCAGCUUUUCUGCAAAUCAGGUCUUUGCACAAAUUUAAUCCGGUUGUGGUCUGUAGACAGUUGAUUGUUAAUUUCCAUUUUUUCCAACAAGCCAACAGUACCCUAACAUAAUCAACCCAAGCGUUUAAAGAGGAUACAAAUUUGCAGAAGCCACCAGAGUUGCAUCAACUAUUGGCGUAAAUGCAGAUAAGACUACUGAUGCAUAAAAAUGGAAAUUAACAAUCAACUUGAGCAAAACCAUAAAAAUGCCAUAGUAGUUAAGGUUAGUUCCAACGCAAGACCCAACUCGAGUGGCAAAACAGAGGCGGUUAGCCACACAUUGUGGCAGAGAAACAGAGAAAUAUCAUUCUGUAUUCUAUUUAAUAACUGUAAAAGCGCAUUUUCAUUUCUGAUUCUUAUUUUACAUUGUAGGUAAAAUCAGAGGGGGAUACAUCAUAACUGCAGCCACGCUUCCUAAUUCAUCUGUAAUUCAGCAUUGAUCCUUUCAAUACAUUUCAUUUCAGCCGUCUUUUGGGGAAGUUGCUUUGAAUUCGAUUUGCGAAUUUUUGGAAAUGUCUGCAGAAAUCUUUGUACAGGAGUGCGGUUAUGACAUACAAUUAUAUUAUAAUGAAACUUUAGCUUUAAGAAAUUUAAGAUGUUCUAUUUUCAAAAGACAUCUAGGACUAACUUUUUUUUCAUUCCCAUGCUUUAUCUUAGUUAAUUUAUUUUUUUGCUCACUGGGCACUAUAAGGCAGAGUUUAUUUCUCUCUCUCUAUUUUUUUUUUUCCAAACUAAUGCUGUUAGUUUAAGAAUCUUCGUAUUACAAUCUGGUCAUCAUUAUUUUCAUUUUAUUUUGAGACAAAAUAAUUGUUUUUGAAUUCUCAUUAGCAAAUGUACAUUGCUUUCAUUUUUAGAUGGCAAAAACAGGGAAAAAAAAAAUAAUAAAACAAGAUUGCAGGACAUCAGCACCUUAUUCUUUUCUUGAACUAAGUCUUUGUUUUGUUUAGCUUUUGUUAAGAUGCUUUAUUAACCUUCCUCCUUUUUCCUAUUGCUAGUUUGGUAUCUCUUUCAUUUCUUGAACCAAGAUAUUUGCCUUUAAUUAGAAGUAAAGCUAAAAUGCUCCUUCGCCUUUCCUCCCUUUUCUCUUAACUUGUGAUUUCUUAUGCAAUCAUUUUCAAUCGUACCAACACCAUUCAUUUAUCAAUAUCCAGUUUGAAUAAAAUUCUACAAUUUGAUUUUUUUUGCUUCUUCCACAUAAUUGUUUGAUUGUGGUGCUUUCAGUCAGAAUUAGAUAUCAUCGGGACAUUAAAUCUUUGAUUACUCAAACAAUCAAUAACAGGUAUUUUAUUAUCUGAAUUAUUCAUUUAAUAACUUCAUUUUAUUUAUUUUUAUCUCAUGAAUGUUAGAUCCACUUUAGGUUUGUGAUUAAUUAUUUUUCACAAGUUAUAUUUUUUAUUUUCAUUUUCAUAAGUAUCAAAGUCAUCACUAUCAUGCACACGUUGCUUGUACUUUUAUUGUGUAAAAAUCAUCACCCACAAAUAAUAUUAAAUGAAAUUCACUUGCCCAUUGAAAAAUAUGUGUAUAUACUAUUUUUUAAAAACCAUUAUUCUCCCUUGGAGCUUACUAUUAUUUAGUACACGAAGUAAAUAAAUAAAUAGAUAUAUAACUUGAUGGAGUUAUUUGCGAAUAGGAAUUACUAUUUAUUUAGUUUUGUGUUUCUGCAUCAGUAUUAUCUUCUCUGUUAUAUUUGCUUUUAGCAACUCAAAGUGCGGAUUGAGCUACGGUGCACCCUUCUUUUUGUAUUUUUUUGGCUGCACCCCAUAGUCUCUUCUAUAUUUACAGUUUAUUAAAGUAAUUUAUUUUUCCUCUUUCUUCAACCCCUCACUUCUACAUUCUUCUAGAUUUUUUCCAUUUUCAAUUAAACCUGUAAUCAACCAAUUGCAAUCAAUAAGAGAAACUUGACUUUCUCAUUGAAGCUACUUCCUUGUUGCCUUAAGAUUCAUUUGCUCCACAUCGCAUAAGCAAUAAUGAAUUAAACUUUUUAUAUAAAAGAAAAUCACAUAGAUACAUUUUUGUAUCCACAAUAUAUUCAUCAUACAGUGAAAUUUAGGUGUAAGAAAAUUGAAAUUUUUGAUGUUUUAUUACGCGUCUUCUUCCCCUCUUCUCUUCCAUGUGUCUCUCCAUUUGCUCCUUAAAUAAUCUAACUCUAGGGCUUUCUAAUAAUUGGAUAAUUAUUAUAAUAAUUAUUAUUAUUUUAUCAGUAAAGCUCCUCUUAUUAUGUUAAUGAGUUUGUUUUCUUAGGAAAAAAUAAUAUUUUAGCAAAUGAUCAAAAGUGAGAGCUUUAACAAAAAUUCAAAAUCUGUCUUAGUUUUCAUUGUCUUUGACGCAUCUGGCAUGUUUGAUUUCUUGAUUAUAACUUGCAAAAGUGGGUACUAUAACACAAUGACAAUGAUUAGUGAUUUGUGCUGAGAGAAUUUGGGAACAAAAGAUAUUUGUUCAUAAACAAACAACACAUCCCUGCCCUUGAAACUCCUUUUGUGUCAGAUCCAAUGGUGGCAGAACAAAGAGACACAAAGACGGGUACGGUGUAACCGUUCCACCAUAGCUAGAUCCCUCGAGUGCAUUGUUCUUCAUUCUAAUAUUUUUGCAACAUAGAAAAUAACUUACGAAAAACAAUACCAAACAGCUCCUUAGUUAGAGAUAGUUAUUUGACAACACAAGUACUCUGUUUUGCAUAUAUUUAUAUAUUUUUAAUAGCUCUGUUUGAAAAUUCCGGCUACACAGUAUAAGUGAGAGAAGGAGACAUACUGGACGUUUACCUCCGACUAUUUUGUGAGAGGUUGAAAAGGGUGUUAGCAGGUGAAGAAGGCACGUUACCGUUGCCUGAUUCAACAAAUUUAGCCCCGCUUUUUCAAAACCUUCUUAUGGAGUCCGAAAUUAUUGCUACUACUCUACUGGAAAACUAUGAAGCUGACAUGGCUCGGCUUUUGUUUCAACUCAUUAGAGAAGAAUUCGAUGAACCCAAAAUAUCUUUGCCUUUUUUGCAACUGUUGGACUUAGAAGAAAGUGAUGAAGACGUUAAAAGACAAGAUAUUUUGGAAAUUCUGGAAGACAUCAAUGACUUUGUCCAUGAAUCUGAGGAAGCCAUUGACACAUUCUUCAUCAACAUCAUGCAGCAGCAAAACAGUGAAAGUGAAAGUGAAAGCAGUACUAGUAUGGCUCUUCUUGUUGGACUACACGGUAAAAUCAUUGAUAUUAGAAAUCAGAUGCAACAGCUUCCACCUAGCGACAAUGGUUUUGAUAUCAAUGAACAAAGGGACAAACUCAUUCACUUAUUGAUUGAGGGACAAUCUCAACUUGAUAUCAAUGAAUUUGAAAGGGGCAGAGAGGAGUUGUUUGAUUUGUUGAUUGAGGGACCAUCUGGGCUUUCAGUGGUUGCAAUUCUCGACAGCAGUGGCUUCGAUAAGACUGCUUUUGCUGCAGAUACUUACAAUAAUAAUCACGUCAAGUUCUAUUUUGACUGUCUUGCUUGGGUCAGGGUUUCCAUAGUCUACGAUUUUGGCAAGAUAUUGGAUGACAUAAUCAAGUCUGUGAUGCCUCCAUCUCGGGUUAGUGUAAUUAUCGGUGAAGAUUAUCAAUUGAAGAAAUCUGUUCUUCGAGAUUACGUAACCAACAAGAAGUACUUUAUUGUGCUUGAUGAUGUCUUCGAUGAUCGUGAGAUAUGGAGUGAUCUUGAAGAAGUUCUUCCUGAUAAUCAGAAUGGAAGCAGAGUAUUGAUAUUGGUCACUGAUCCAGACCUCCUUUCGUCGUUGGAAAUGGAAAACGGAGAGAAGAUUCGGCUUGAUUCAGUGCUCAUUGGAGGACCAUUGAUCAGAUUAAAGCAUGAGGCCUGGCAAUUUUUCAUCCUACACUAUGGAAGUAUGCCAUUAGGAAAUUAUCUUCAAGGCGAAGCGAUUCCGACAGUUUGGAGACAAAUUUAUUCUGUGAUGGAGUUACCUUUUCACUUGAAAGUCUGCUGCAUCUAUUUGUGUGUCUUCCGUCCAAGUAUUGAGAUAUCUACGAGGCAAUUAUAUCAGUUGUGGGUAGCUGAAGGUUUCAUAUCAUCCAACGGUGAAGAAACUGCCGAACAUUACUUGAAAGAACUAAUCCAACGCGGCUUCAUUCAAGUGAGUAAGAGAAGAGCCGGCGGCACAAUUAAAGCGUGUUAUGUUCCAAGUCUUGAAUUUACUUCAUUGGCUUUGAUGGCUGAAAAGACGAUAUUUGUCUGGAAUCCUGGCAUGGAAGAGGAAUCACUAUCAAAUGUUAAACGGUGCUUCAUUUGGGAACAUCUGAUUGAGUUUUUAUCUUUAGAACAUCCUGACAUCUAUCUCCAAUCUUUUCUGAAUCACAGUUCAAAAACCGAUCAUCUGGCUCUGAUACAGUGCGAGAAUUUUUGUAAAAAGUUCAAACACCUUCGGGUAUUGAACUUGGGUUCUGCAGUUCUCGACCAAUAUCCACCCGGAUUAGAAAAUUUAUUCUAUUUGAAGUAUUUGAAAUUGAAUAUUCCUUCGCUCAAAUGUCUUCCUUCACUGCUAUGCACCCUUAUAAACCUUCAAACACUAGAAAUGCCAUCUAGCUACAUAGAUCGGUCACCAGAGGAUAUUUGGAUGAUGCAAAAACUCAUGCAUCUAAACUUUGGUUCCAUCACUCUGCCUGCACCUCCAAAAAAUAAUUCCAGCACUCUGAAAAAUCUCAUUUUCAUAUCAACCUUACACCCUAGUAGUUGUACUCCAGAUAUAUUGGGUAGAC
Molecule: long non-coding RNA, 30721 nt
Filed under: Citrus x clementina
Lineage: Eukaryota; Viridiplantae; Streptophyta; Magnoliopsida; Sapindales; Rutaceae
Description: Citrus clementina (C. clementina) long non-coding RNA (CCLE_LNC002376)
Source: RNAcentral